UUCCUGCAUAUUUUCUUUUCACAUUCGCUGGUUAGACAAUAGGACGGUUCGACCGCAGUCUGAUCUGGAACCCUGACUCUCAUGAAGUGUUUCUGUUUGACUACAAUCUAUGGAGCUUCUUAACGUUCAAUACCGUGCUGAGUGAAACGUCAGCGCAGGUUGGUCGCUGCAUCUGAUGUUUUUUCAGCAUGACGAAUAACAGCAGCAGACGCAGCUACGGCUCUAAAUUCAAAGUUCUCGGGCAAAUGAAGCUGUGAGGACUGAGGAUCCUCAUCAUCAUCCUCACUCUUCACAUGGACUGGACUGAAGGCGAACUUGGCGACACCAGUGUCCUCAGGUCCAUGGAGCUGUUCUUCAUCCUGGCUGGUGCACGGUUCCUCCUGUUCCUCUUUAAUGAAGUGAGGCUCCAGAUCCUCCUGUUCCAGUCUGGAGCUCAGCACCUGAUCGGACGGGGCCUCAUCACAUACUAACAGCUGCUGGACGUCUGCAGGAUACCCUGAAGCACAGAACAGCAGAAAGACUGUCAGACAUGGUUUUGCCAGGUGAGUGAUUCACAGACUCAUCGCAGCUGCUGUUUACCGUGUGGCAACAUUGACACUUGCUCUGCCUCCAGGACCUUACCUGGACUGACCUGCCCUGUGCAGCCGGACCUCGGGCUUCAACACGGCGUCCAGCAGCCUCCUCUGGCGGCACACCUCCCGCUCGGACCGCUCCACUCUGUCUUCAUACUUCGCCACGGCUUCCUCGAACAGACCGACUAUCU
This is a long non-coding RNA of Betta splendens (Siamese fighting fish), 763 nucleotides long. RefSeq lists it as uncharacterized. NCBI's taxonomy places the organism in Eukaryota, Metazoa, Chordata, Actinopteri, Anabantiformes, Osphronemidae. The record is from RefSeq and is a predicted model, not a curated record. The transcript is spliced from 3 exons.